UCAAUUAAAAAAACAACAGACAAGUACUGGACGGAAGAAAUGAACUUGAAAAAGACACCUGUGCUGAAUCUUUGAUGACUAAGACCUGUAAUGAAGAAGGAGAAAUGAGAGAAGACUGCACAGAACAGGAAAUCAGAGAUGGUGGUUCUCUCAGAAUGGUUCACUUUGGCUUGGUGUAAACAAUAAAAAACUUUCUUUUUACUUAAAAAAAGAAACA
Molecule: long non-coding RNA, 217 nt
Filed under: Ursus americanus (American black bear)
Lineage: Eukaryota; Metazoa; Chordata; Mammalia; Carnivora; Ursidae
Description: lncRNA (ENSUAMG00000015661.1)
Source: RNAcentral